This 492-nucleotide ribosomal RNA is filed under the name uncultured bacterium. RNAcentral describes it as "partial 16S ribosomal RNA". It matches the Rfam family "Bacterial small subunit ribosomal RNA", at positions 29 to 507 of the family's 1533-position model. The record is from RNAcentral.
AGUGAACGCUGGCGGUAGGCCUAACACAUGCCAGUCGAACGGCAGCACAGUAAGAGCUUGCUCUUACGGGUGGCGAGUGGCGGACGGGUGAGGAAUACAUCGGAAUCUACUUUUUCGUGGGGGAUAACGUAGGGAAACUUACGCUAAUACCGCAUACGACCUACGGGUGAAAGCAGGGGAUCUUCGGACCUUGCGCGAUUGAAUGAGCCGAUGUCGGAUUAGCUAGUUGUCGGGGUAAAGGCCCACCAAGGCGACGAUCCGUAGCUGGUCUGAGAGGAUGAUCAGCAACACUGGAACUGAGACACGGUCCAGACUCCUACGGGAGGCAGCAGUGGGGAAUAUUGGACAAUGGGCGCAAGCCUGAUCCAGCCAUACCGCGUGGGUGAAGAAGGCCUUCGGGUUGUAAAGCCCUUUUGUUGGGAAAGAAAAGCAGCAGGUUAAUACCCCGCUGUUCUGACGGUACCCAAAGAAUAAGCACCGGCUAACUUCGUG